RNAcentral lists this non-coding RNA (649 nucleotides) under Pongo abelii (Sumatran orangutan). The record is from RNAcentral. Lineage: Eukaryota; Metazoa; Chordata; Mammalia; Primates; Hominidae.
AGUAUUUCCCUCCAGAGUGUAGCUCCUGUGAAAUGCUCCAAGAUGAUCUCGGAUGCAAAUUCAGCCAUGCAAGAGUGAUGAAAUGCUUGCAUUAUUUCCAAAGAUGAAUUAAGACAAUGAGGCAGCUCUUCAUUUGUCAAGAUCCAGCACAAAGGUGCUCAAGAAAUAUUGAUAUGAACAAAAAUCAAACCAAUCUGGCUAAGGAUUCUCUACACUGGAAAUUACCUGUGGACAAGUUACUCUGUAGCCAGGGUGCUGGUACCAUCCAAACAGAUAAUUCAGAGGAGACAGGGGACACCAAAAUAAUAAGAAGGACUUGCAAUCAAAACCUGAACAGGUUUUCUCUGACAUUGACUUCAGCAGUUCUUCACCCUAGGAGGUCUACAGAGGGGCUUCAGGAAACCAGAAACCACAUGCACAAAGAAGUAUUUUUCUGAGAAUGGAGCUGAUCAGUUUCUGGGUUUUUUUUUUUCUUCCAGAUUUUCAAAGGAUUCUGUGAGGCCCCCAAAACUUGAGAACCUCUUGGAUUCAUCUGUCCACUCUGGUUUCUACCCCCAGAAUCUAACGUGGCCUCACUCCUAGAUUACCUCCAGCACAAGAGAAAGUGCAUAUUCUGUCUGCUCUACUGGGCCAGGAGAGGAGGGAAAGA